This is an RNA transcript of Magnolia sinica, 1172 nucleotides long. It is a transcript of the gene named structural maintenance of chromosomes protein 2-1-like, with no coding region annotated. The record is from RefSeq and is a predicted model, not a curated record. Lineage: Eukaryota; Viridiplantae; Streptophyta; Magnoliopsida; Magnoliales; Magnoliaceae. The transcript is spliced from 5 exons.
UCUGAUUUCUUUGUGCAUGCAGUUUUUUUUCCAUUGAAUUCAAUAUCAGUGAGUUUCUCAAAUGUAGGAUGUUUUGCUAGCAGUGAUUUCUUUGUUCUGAUUCCUUUUACUUUAUACCAAUGUUUUUAUUCUCAAAGUUUAAUUUAUUUAUUUCAUUAUGGCAUUUUCCCAUAGGAUGCAAGCUCUGGUUGACUACAUUUUCAAUGGAGGCAUUUUCUCUAUGUCGGUAUUUUAGUAUACUAAUGAGGAAAAAAGCUCUCAAGAUUAAGCGAAUGGAGAUGGAACAAAAAGAUUGCUCCCUGAAGGUAGAUAAACUACUAGAAAGGCAUAGUUGGAUUAUAGCCGAGAAACAAUUAUUUGAAAAAAGUGGAACAGAUUAUGACUUCUCAUCUCGUGAUCCUCGUAAAUCAAGGGAGGAGCAUGAGAAACUUUAAGCUGAACAAUCUGGCCUUGAGAAGAGGGUCAACAAAAAAGUUAUGGUAAUGUUCGAGAAAGUUGAAGAUGAAUACAAUGACUUAUUAUCCAACAAAAACAUCAUUGAGAAUGAUAAGUCAAAAAUCAAGAAGGUGAUUGAAGAGCUUGAUGAAAAGAAGAAGGAAACACUAAAAGUUACUUGGGUUAAAGUGAACAAGCUGACAAGCCAAAGAAGUCAGUGGAGGAUGAAAUUCAUUUUCUCAAGGGAAGGGUUUUGGAACUUGAAAGUGAUCUUGUGUCGAAGUCCACAGAAAUUACAUUUACAAUUUCAAGGAAAGAAGAAGGUCUAUCUUCUGCAUUUGCUGAAAUUGACCGUCUGAAGGAAGAAAAUUCUGUAAAAACGUGAGCAUUAUUGAAUGCAUGUGGAAGGUGUUUACUGUGUUAGAGUGUAUUUGUUUCUUGCACAUGAGGGCACGCCUUAGUUGUAAUUCUUAUGAUAGGUUGAGCAAAGUGAAGUAUUGUUUAUUUAGAAAUGUGAAUAUAGGAUGCACUGUAUGAUUUGAUUGCUAUUUGUAAUAAAUGCAUCGUUUUUUUUUUCUGAUUGUAUUUUAUGUACUAUUUCUAUCAGCAUUAAGCUUAGAUGAGUUAUCAAUCACAGCAGGUUUUUGCAAUGGAAAUAGGUCGUAUUAAUUCAAAUUUUUUUUUUUAAAAAAUAGCUACAAAUAUAAUCCGUAGCUAUAGCUACGGCUUUUGUCCAU